UGUCAGUUACCUCUGCUGCCCUUCUUCAGAGACUCCAGCCUGGCUAAAGACAGCUGCAAGUGCUAGAACAUUCUCAUCUAUUGGACUGACCCUCACCACUGGCAUUCUUUCCAAAGGUAAAUUAUAUCAUCUUUCAAGACUGUUCCAAAAGGAGAACUAGAUGGAUCUAUCGCCCCAUAUUUGAUUCCCACUCCAAGUUUGGGUUGGCUGCCAAAACUGAUGAUACCACGAUCUUCCCAAGAGGAUUGAGAAAGUUUAUCAAUCACACAUAAUGAUGCUUUGUGUGGAGGGCAAGCCAGGGUUCCAAACUGAUCCAAGAAUCAGAGAGAGCUGCUAAGGAUAUUGGCUCAGCUUUCGGAGGCUUUAGGGUUUCCAGAGAGGCUGGGGUACGGGUGUGUGGUGUGAGCAUACCCCAGGAAAGGAAAGGAUACUCAGG
This 436-nucleotide long non-coding RNA is filed under the name Cavia porcellus (domestic guinea pig). RNAcentral's name for it is "lncRNA (ENSCPOG00000030036.1)". The record is from RNAcentral. Lineage: Eukaryota; Metazoa; Chordata; Mammalia; Rodentia; Caviidae.